Long non-coding RNA from Melozone crissalis (California towhee), 451 nucleotides. RefSeq lists it as uncharacterized. The record is from RefSeq and is a predicted model, not a curated record. Lineage: Eukaryota; Metazoa; Chordata; Aves; Passeriformes; Passerellidae. The transcript has 3 exons.
AAGCUUUGGGUUCCUUCUGUCCCACAGGGAGUUGCCCUGUUUGGUUGCAUCUGGUGAAAUUCACCCUGAGACCUUACAGAAGUAGCUCAAACUACGUGAGAGCCAUUUGCAGUUCCCUCCACACACCUGGAGAAUGGGUGACGUUUCUGAGGAUGUGGCAACUGUACUUCUAUCAAAACUCAGUCUGUGAAAUUUCUGGGGAAAACUCUUCGGUGACCUGAAGGGUUCAAACUCUGGGAAAGACUCUCGUAUCCUUGUCUUCAGGCUCGGUGCUGUCCACGAAGAUACGGAGACUAAAAAAAUCAUAAGAAGCAAAAUAUGACUGCAGGGAAAACAAGCUGGAGAGAACAAAAGACUCAUCACGGCGGGACAGCGUGAAGACUGAAAGUGUGAGAAGAUGUGGAGGGGAAGAGAGAAUCUGACGGGAGCAGCGAACGCACGAGUGCACGAA